UACGAAGGGGGCUAGCGUUGUUCGGAAUUACUGGGCGUAAAGCGCACGUAGGCGGAUACUUAAGUCAGGGGUGAAAUCCCGGGGCUCAACCCCGGAACUGCCUUUGAUACUGGGUAUCUCGAGUCCGGAAGAGGUGAGUGGAAUUCCGAGUGUAGAGGUGAAAUUCGUAGAUAUUCGGAGGAACACCGGUGGCGAAGGCGGCAUCCUGGACCGGUAUUGACGCUGAGGCGCGAAAGCCAGGGGAGCAAACGGG
This 253-nucleotide ribosomal RNA is filed under the name uncultured bacterium. RNAcentral's name for it is "partial 16S ribosomal RNA". It matches the Rfam family "Bacterial small subunit ribosomal RNA", at positions 524 to 776 of the family's 1533-position model. The record is from RNAcentral.